RNAcentral lists this ribosomal RNA (485 nucleotides) under uncultured Gammaproteobacteria bacterium. Its description in RNAcentral is "bacterial SSU rRNA". It matches the Rfam family "Bacterial small subunit ribosomal RNA", at positions 46 to 526 of the family's 1533-position model. Lineage: Bacteria; Pseudomonadati; Pseudomonadota; Gammaproteobacteria. The record is from RNAcentral.
GCUUAACACAUGCAAGUCGAGCGGAUGACGGGAGCUUGCUCCUUGAUUCAGCGGCGGACGGGUGAGUAAUGCCUAGGAAUCUGCCUGGUAGUGGGGGACAACGUUUCGAAAGGAACGCUAAUACCGCAUACGUCCUACGGGAGAAAGCAGGGGACCUUCGGGCCUUGCGCUAUCAGAUGAGCCUAGGUCGGAUUAGCUAGUUGGUGGGGUAAUGGCUCACCAAGGCGACGAUCCGUAACUGGUCUGAGAGGAUGAUCAGUCACACUGGAACUGAGACACGGUCCAGACUCCUACGGGAGGCAGCAGUGGGGAAUAUUGGACAAUGGGCGAAAGCCUGAUCCAGCCAUGCCGCGUGUGUGAAGAAGGUCUUCGGAUUGUAAAGCACUUUAAGUUGGGAGGAGGGGCAGUAAGUUAAUACCUUGCUGUUUUGACGUUACCGACAGAAUAAGCACCGGCUAACUCUGUGCCAGCAGCCGCGGUAAUAC